Molecule: ribosomal RNA, 497 nt
Filed under: uncultured bacterium
Lineage: Bacteria
Description: partial 16S ribosomal RNA
Rfam family: Bacterial small subunit ribosomal RNA
Source: RNAcentral
GAUGAACGCUGGCGGCGUGCCUAAUACAUGCAAGUCGAGCGAACAGACGAGGAGCUUGCUCCUCUGACGUUAGCGGCGGACGGGUGAGUAACACGUGGAUAACCUACCUAUAAGACUGGGAUAACUUCGGGAAACCGGAGCUAAUACCGGAUAAUAUAUUGAACCGCAUGGUUCAAUAGUGAAAGACGGUUUUGCUGUCACUUAUAGAUGGAUCCGCGCCGCAUUAGCUAGUUGGUAAGGUAACGGCUUACCAAGGCAACGAUGCGUAGCCGACCUGAGAGGGGAAUGGGCAACACGAGAGGGGAGACGGGGACGAGCAUCCGAAGGAAGGAGCCGGAAGGGAAUCUCCAGAAGUGGGAGAAGACGGGAGAGAGAAACGCGGAGGGGGUAAUGAAGGUGUUGGGUUCGAAAAACUUUGUAAUAAGGGAAAAAAAAAGGUAAAGGAAAUUAGGCGCUUCUUGAGGGUACCAAAUAAAAAAGCCACGGCUAACUGGGUC